GUCUCCUCCCCCUCCUCCUCCUCCUCCUCUUCCUCCUCCUCCCGCUCCUCGAUGCUCCGCCGCUCGCGGCUGGGGGGUCCGGGGCCGCGUCUCCUCUCCUCCCUCCGCCUCUCCUCUUUCCUCCUUCCUGCUGCCUCUUCUUUUAAAGCGGAUUCUUUGGCCACAAAUAGCAACUCGGCUGCCCCCCUCGGUGCCUCCCUCCCCUUCUCUUCUUCCCCCCAAAAGUGAAGCGCACGCGAGGAGCUGAAAAGCUGUGCAGGGAUGAUGGACCCUUGCCCCCUGUGACCUAAGGAUGGAUCCAGAAAUCUCAGCCUCCCCAUAGGUGAUUCCACCCAAGAUGUAAACUCCUACUUGGCUUUGUCAUUGCCACAUGUGCCCCCAUAAACUGGCAAUCCCACUUUCCUCAUCCAAAGUUGCAUGUUAGAGAAACAGAAAGUUUUAAAACCCCUAAUAUUCCUUUGCUGUUACUUUUGUGGGAAAUGUAUCACUCUGCCUGCAGAUCUGACCUCAUUUAAGAAGAACCCAGCUGGUAAAUCUGACUGCUAUCUGGGAACAUAGUUGAGGAUAUAUCAUCUUACACCACUGGUAGUGAUUUAAACUAGCAAGUAGAAAAGGGACCCAGAAAUCAGGGGAUACAGAGGACAGUACAAGUAAAUGGCAUAAGCCCAACUUUUCUGACACUGUGAAGUCCUAGAUGUUCUUGUCUCUACUACAACCAAACAUCAAACAUCUUAGAGAAAGAAGUAGGGAUGGGUCAAGGUGACUGGAGAGUCUGAGUUAUUAUUAUACCAAUGAGACUGAGAAUUAUUCAGGGUGAUGCUGCUGAAAAACGGGAGAUACAGCAAAUAGAGAAGCCAAAGUUUCUCUGCACAUCUGAGUAGUAAUGGAAGUGAGACUGCAGCCUGCUACACUCAUGUUAAUAUAUUCAGAGCAGAUUGGCAACAAAAGAGUGUCCUAAUGCUGCAGCAUCUAGUAAACUUCUGGACUGGUUUACCAUUUGGAAAUUUUAAGUCAAAGAACAUCAGAAGCAGGCUAAUCUUUUGUUGAAAUUACCUCGUUUUUACAGGUAAAGAAACGAAGACCCUGAGAAUUUAAAAUCAUCCAACUAUUUGGUGCCAGAAGCAGGACAAGAACUCAGACAUCAUGAUCCAGUGCCCUCCAUCCCACCAGCUAUUCAUCAUCACCUCCACAUUCUGGAUCAAAGAAGCCAGUUUUCCAACUUAUCAAUGAGCAAUACAUAUAGAAUAUUUUUAAAACUCCAAAUACUUUUAUGAAGGAAAAAUGAAGCAAUAGGACAAGACAUUUUCUUCGUUUCCUUCCAGCUCUAACAUUCUGUGAUAAAUAGCACACAGGAGCUUUGCUAUAGCACUACCCCCUCUAGUGCAUAAUUCAGCAUACGAUGAGUAUGAGUCUGUUUUGGACCCCAUCCAAAGGAGUUAGUUCCUAGAAGUACUUGGAAGAUUUAUUCUCAUUUAUCAUGAGGCAUCCUAACAGGAGACUAAAAAUAAUCACGAUGACAAUAAUAGUAAUCAGUUGUUACACUUGUAUUAUGUACUAAGCAUCGUGCUAAGCAUGUUAAAGUUCACCUGUUUUUGAAAAGGCACUUCAUGACCUUAUGUGGGUUGCGAAUCUAGUGGGUCAUAAACAAUUUCUGAAAUGAAAGAAAAGUAGGAAAAAACACAGAGUGCAUUAUACAUACUAAGUUGUUUUAUUUUUUAUUUUUUUAUUUUUUUUGCAAAACUUCCUUUUUGAUCAUGUGGCUAGUGAUUAAAAGUUUGGAAGCACUGCCUCGUUUCCAAUCUUAACUGCCUUGCUAGUUAAGUAUUAUUAGCCCCAUUAUAUAAGUGAGGAAACAGGACGAGAGAGGAUAAGUAAUUUGGCCAAGCUGACACAGUGAGUGGCCAAGCUAGAAUUUUGAACCUAGAUCUGUUUGACUUCAAAUCCAAUAUUUUCACUUCUAUAGUGAUGAUAAAUUAUUGACCAAGGUAUGGAAUAAAUUGUUGCUAAUC
Homo sapiens (human) is the source of this 2009-nucleotide long non-coding RNA. Ensembl annotates it as PTPRD antisense RNA 1. Its record names the gene PTPRD-AS1. The record is from Ensembl. Lineage: Eukaryota; Metazoa; Chordata; Mammalia; Primates; Hominidae.